Molecule: ribosomal RNA, 581 nt
Filed under: uncultured bacterium
Lineage: Bacteria
Description: partial 16S ribosomal RNA
Rfam family: Bacterial small subunit ribosomal RNA
Source: RNAcentral
UGGGGAAUAUUGGACAAUGGGCGCAAGCCUGAUCCAGCCAUGCCGCGUGUGUGAAGAAGGCCUUUUGGUUGUAAAGCACUUUAAGCGAGGAGGAGGCUACUUGGAUUAAUACUCUAGGAUAGUGGACGUUACUCGCAGAAUAAGCACCGGCUAACUCUGUGCCAGCAGCCGCGGUAAUACAGAGGGUGCGAGCGUUAAUCGGAUUUACUGGGCGUAAAGCGUGCGUAGGCGGCUUUUAAGUCGGAUGUGAAAUCCCUGAGCUUAACUUAGGAAUUGCAUUCGAUACUGGGAAGCUAGAGUAUGGGAGAGGAUGGUAGAAUUCCAGGUGUAGCGGUGAAAUGCGUAGAGAUCUGGAGGAAUACCGAUGGCGAAGGCAGCCAUCUGGCCUAAUACUGACGCUGAGGUACGAAAGCAUGGGGAGCAAACAGGAUUAGAUACCCUGGUAGUCCAUGCCGUAAACGAUGUCUACUAGCCGUUGGGGCCUUUGAGGCUUAGUGGCGCAGCUAACGCGAUAAGUAGACCGCCUGGGGAGUACGGUCGCAAGACUAAAACUCAAUGAAUUGACGGGGUCAUAGCUGUUU